UUCAGAAGAAAUGGUAAUGUGAGAAUGAAUAGAUUGUGUGAGAUUAUAUUAACAGAGGGCUAAGCCUAUGUUUAAAUUCAUGUACUUGACUUUUCCCUCCAAUUAGAACUCCACAUGGACUUGUGAAAAAUAAAACAAAAGAACAUUGGAAAGAGUUAUCGGCAUGCAUAUUCUACAAAAUAUAAUACCUGUAAACCAAAACCCUAUAGCCUUGUUUUAUGAGGUUCUCAUGAUAGACAAGACUAGAGGAAACAUCAGAUAUAUAGAAUUCUUGUAAGGUCUUAUUGCAUCUCUCCCAUUCCUUAACGCUUCCCUGAUUCUGAAAAAAAAAAAAAAAAAAAAAAGAUGAGCAAAAUUAAAGUACUGUGAUAUGUUAUGAAAACCUGAAGAUAUCUUUGGAAGGAACUAAUUAAUUGCCUCCUGAAUAUGAAGAGCUUCUUGGACAGUUUUGUCAUUUGCCCAAAUAUAAGAGAGGAGAUAUGCGUAACUCUGCAUUAACACAAGGCAGAUAUGUUGACUCAAAGUUAACAUUUAGUACAACAAACACAAAUGAGUAAGCUACAACCUACAGAUAAGUUACUGCUAUACAGUAUGCAAUGUGUGUGUGUGCCGGCGUGUGCAGAGAGACUUACCCGACACCAUGGCCUACGAAGUUGAGGAAAAGAAAGGAGGAGAUUUACAGAGUCUUUAUUAGUGCGAUCAUCUGCAUACCCCUUUGACUGCGCUGGUUUUGGUGAAUGGACAGUACAUACAGGUUCCAAUAUUUGUACAUCAUUUACGUCUUCGAUACACUGCCAAUCAAAAUAUGAAGUCAGUAUUUUGAUAGUACAUUACUUAAUAGUGACAAGUAGUUGUAGAAACCAAAGAAUUUGUUUACUUUCCACUCACCUCGUUGUAAAGUUCAAGAUCAUCCACACAUAACGUGUUGUUUAGAUCCACAUUGAUAUAAUCUCCCUUGCAGUUUAUUUUCAUUGACUUGCAAAGUAUACAAAUCACAACCACAUUUAAGAAAGACAAUAAAUAAAGUGACUAUGCAAGAUCACCAUAUAACUUGAGGUAAAGAUUUAGUCAGAAUAGUUCAGAAUGAUUUGAAGAGCCAGAAUCUAAUCUCAACAUGAAACUGACAAGAAGCGACAAAAUCAGUGUGUAUUUUCACCUGGUAUAGUUCCUCUGAUAUAAGUGCUUUCAUGUAAGCAAAUAGAACUCUAGAAUUAUCAUCCUUUUCAGAAUCUGUCACUGGAUUGCCAAGCACAUAACCCUGCAGCCAAUAUAUAUGGAACAUUAUUGUCUGCCUACUUUUAAGGCCCACAUGCAUAUGAUCUGCAAUUAAUUAACCAACAAAAUAGAAAUCAUUCAAAUUGUAAUGGCAGAAAAUGUACUUUGAGAUUCAUUGGUGGCGCAUGUUCAUCUUGAUUACCUACAUAAAAGUAAAUAAGCAAAAUAAAAAGAACCUCAAAUCAAUACCUCAUGAUCCACACAACUAAGAAACUAACUAUUUGCAUGUGAGGCUGAAUUAAAGGUUGCACGAUUGACACUUCUCAAUUCCUGGUAGCUGAAGCUGAGAAAAGGCCAAAUUUAAAAGGGUUACCAACUUACCAUCUGAUAUUUCCUGAACGACCAUAGGAACAAUUAUGCCUGAAUAAGAAUCUCCGGCAAUAUAAAGUGGAUUAUUGUAGAACUUGGGAUGAUCCAUAAGCCACUGCACCACAACAGUGAAAACAAAGAUGUAGCUAAACUAGACGCAGGAAAAUAAUGUUCAUUUCCAACAGCCAAUCAUGUCAAUUUUUGAAAAAAACUAUUCUUAAUCACUUGAAAGAUGAUCGCUUGAACUAGACCUUAUGCCGAAACCUCAUAGGCAAGUGCAUCCUCUCACCUUUCUAAGAAAUUCAUAUGUUUGUGCAGCUGAUAUUGUGUCAUUGAGAUUGGCAUAUCCUUCCCAAUUUUUUGUAUAUGAGAAUCCUGUGCCCACAGGUGCAUCCAAAAAUAUUAUGUUGGCAACCUGAAAGUUUUUUUAUCGUUCUUCUCAAUAUCAUAAGAACCUCAAUAACUUGAAGGUUUCCAAUUAAACAAGUACACCUAUAAGGCAGUUGAAGCCUCCCACCUUUGUCCAUGAAUAUGGAUUCAACUUUAGUUUUGGUUUGUUGCCGAUGGAAUGUGCAGAGUCAAAGGAUAAUGGACCUACAACAAAGUAUGGAUUAAAUACUGAGGCUAAUUUUACUAAUUAAAAGUUGAACACAAUAUCUGUGCCAGAUUACAACUAACGCGGAUUAAAAACUAUAGAAUUAUAAAAACAAUAAUAUUAGUGAAAUACACACAAUAUACUAAAAAACAAACCCUUCAUCAAUAAAAUUUGGGUUGAUUUUAAAUUGGGAUGUACUGCUUUUGAUGGGGACCUUCCUCUGUUUUGAGGCUCUUGGGCCAGGCUAGUUGCUCUGUAGUUUCUGCUUUGAACCCAGGUUACCCAAAAAAGUAAAAGGAAAAAAAAAACAGAGAAAACAGAGCACGCACUUUUUAUCUUUCUUCACACUGCCAGUCUCAUCAACUUGACACACCUUUAAUUUCUUUUUAUUUUUCAUUUAUAUUGGGAUUUUCUGGUGGUCUAUCACCAAAGUCAUAAAAAUUCAAAAUAGAAUAAUAUCCUCUGAAAGAUGCAGAGAGUGGAAAAUAUAAUUAGGUACCUAAAUUUUCAUAUACAAUGGCAGAGAAGGCAGAACAACCAGGACCUCCAGUGAGCCAAAGCACAAGAGGAUCAUACUCUGGACUCCCUUCAGACUCAAAGAAGUAAUAAAACAGCUGUACAUCAUCCAUGCUGCCCACUCCCACGUACCUUUAUAUAAUUAAACCAUUUAAAAUAUAUAAUUCACGGUCAUCUUUUGUAUUAAUGUAAAGUACUUAACAGAGUAGAAAAUAAUAGUUGUAAGAACAAAAAUACUAACCCAGUUUCAAGCUUAAAGGGGAGGUCACCGCGAAAGCCAGGAAGGGUUUUGAUGAUAUUGGAUGAUGAUGAUGCAACAUUAAUGUUCAAAAGGGUCACCAGAAGAAGUGAUUGUGGCAACAUGGUGGUGAUGAUGUACUUGCUGCUACGCUUAUCUCAUGACAUACGUAUAUGUGGAGGAUGGCUCCUGUGAAGUUAUGGAACGUGCUAUAAUAUAAUGAAUUUGGUUUUUUUCUUGAGCUAUGAAGUGACUGGAUAGUCUGAACAGUAGGUGAAUCCUCGUGAUCAUCAGCCAAAAAAAUUUGAAUAUAUUUUGAUAUUUUGGGAAUUGUAUUUUUCUUCCGGCUUCUGUCCCUUUCAAAUUCUUCAACUUGUGUAUGUAAGAUUUGUUUAGAAUGAGAGACAAAGAAAGUGUGAUUUUCAACUUGUGUCUUUAAGUUAAAAUAUGGACUGAUAAUUGACGCACCUGGGUUCUUAGAUAUUCUGAAUUUCAACAGGAAAAAAAACACACAGAAGAAGAAGUUGUGAUUUUGGUUCAGCAGAGGACUUAAUCAGAACGAGGUAUGGUGCUUGCUCUCUGCUCAACAUUCCGUGGAGGCAGAAAAUCCAAGUUUUUGUUAGACCACAACUUUUUUUUUAUUUAAUUUAUUUGUGGCAUCCGCAUUGCUUGCAUGUCACAAAAUUGAACUACUUGUCAGCCACAAUAUUUUUGGAUCCAAGUCCAACUAAUGGUCAGACACCCAUUAGUCAACCUACUUCCUCUUCUCUGCUCCUCUCUUUGAUUCAUGCUCAAAGACUUUCACAAAGGAUCAUCCAGAUGAAGAUUUUUUGCAUGAUUUUUGGUUUGUUUACUACAUAACACAUUAACAAUGAAUAUAUAUUAAAUAAUGGUGUGUUUAUAGUACAUAAAACUGAUAUUUGAUUUAUGAUUUCAUAUCAUUCUUUGAAUAAUGGUGUGAACCAAUUGACUUAUUAAUUUUGACUACAGAGGGUAGUAUGCGAACCAACGACUAAUCAUAGCAUGACAUUCUUCAGGUUUGUACUCUGGAGCUGUGUGACCCGCUCCCUGAAAAAUCAAAAAAAUUAGUCAGCUUUUGCUGAAGCAAAUUUUAGUAUGGAAAAUAUUUAAGUUCAUUCUUAAGCUUCUUGCCUUUAUAGUUGCAUAUGUCAACUGGUAUUUUUUGUAUGUGUACUGCACUCUGUAUCUAAAGGCCAAAAAACAGAAGAAGAAAAGAAGGCAUAACUAUGAGAUAAUUGUAAUCUGAUUUUCUGACUAAACUCAACACAAAGUAAGAAAGAAGAUGAGAUAGAUACAAACCCUGCAACCUGUCCGUCGACAAACCAAGGCUUCCAAGGACUGUCAACAGUCAAGUUCAGAGAUUCUAUCCAAGCCAUAGUAGCCACAUAUGGAAUAUCCAUGUCAUGAUCACCACUGUGAAUAUACAAGCUUUGUGUUCAGAAGAAAUGGUAAUGUGAGAAUGAAUAGAUUGUGUGAGAUUCUAUUAACAGAAAGCUAAGCCUAUGUUUGAAUUUAUUAGAACUCCAAAUGGACUUUCUGCUUUGACUAAAACAAAAGAAAAUUGGAAAGAGUUAUCGGCAUGCAUAUUCUACAAAAUAUAAUACCUGUAAACCAAAACUCUAUAGCCUUGUUUUAUGAGGUUCUCAUGAUAGACAAGACUAGAGGAAACAUCAGAUAUAUAUAAUUCUUGUAAGGUCUUAUUGCAUCUCUCCCAUUCCGUAAUGCUUCCCU
Molecule: long non-coding RNA, 4685 nt
Filed under: Prunus persica (peach)
Lineage: Eukaryota; Viridiplantae; Streptophyta; Magnoliopsida; Rosales; Rosaceae
Description: long non-coding RNA (PPER_LNC008389)
Source: RNAcentral